UCUUUGAAUUCUGAACACGAUUCGUCUCCGGUUGGUGAACAGGCACGUUCCCGCCGCCUGAACGGCAGCUCAGCUCUGGUGUGUGGCAGAAGGCCCCCGACGUCCCCCCAUCGAUCGCUUCCUCCCGUGUUCAGACCAGCGGAAGAAUCCGUCUGGGACACAUCAGGCCGUGACCCGUCCAUCCAGCCGCCUGACCCUCCGUCCAUACAUCCGCCCAGCCAUCCAUCGUCUCUGUUCCAGUCCUCCGGUCCGGAUCAACAAACUCUUCUGCACCGCUCGUUCCACAGACUGAGUUUUACAGGCUUCCUGUGCAGGUUUGAUGUAAUGCUGCUUGUCAAAGAGCCGCCUGCCUCCUGAAGCCGAACAUCCACAGCUUUAUUAUGGAGCAGGAGGAGGAGGAGGAGGAGGAGGAGGAGGGGAAUGGGAGAAAACAGGGGAGAGCAGAACAUACAGAAUGAAAGGAAUGAAAACAGGGAUGAAGUGAUGAUUGAGGAGGAAGAGGAGGAGAAAAGCAGAGCUGGAUGAAGUAUUAAAAUACUUCACUCAGUAAAAGUAUCAAAAAACCUACAGUAGUAAAAGUACAGUAGUUAGCAUGCUAACAGCUAGCUGCUAACAGCCCUCUGUCUCUGACAGUCUGACAGUCUGCAGCUUCAGUUCACUACUGAGUCUAACAAUCAACAACAGAAACUCAUAAAUGUGAACAAAGGAAAUAUUUUGACUCAGGUUUGUGUCUCUGACUGAACUCAGAUCAGUUUAAUCUGCUCGUUAACUCAUCGUCAGACUCACUUCAUCAGACUGGACGUGAACGAGUCAGAGGUGUUCAUCGUCCUUCCAGGCAGCUAAUACCACUUAGCUCCACGGCUAACUGAGCUACUUGCUAACUGCAGCUGGUCUCUAUAGUGAAGAGAGCAGUUACUUUUGAUUCUGACCGUGUUUUAUUGACAAUGACUUUAAUCUCUUGAUAAUAUCCUGAUUAAUUCACUUAUAGUUUUGUGUAUAAAAUGUAUUUCUGAUAGAAAACAGGAAGAGGAAGCAGUUCUGAUGAGGAAGAGGGUGAGAGAGAGGAGGAGGACAGGGUGGAGGAGGAGGGUGAGAGAGAGGAGGAGGACAGGGUGGAGGAGGAGGGUGAGAGAGGGGAGGAGGAGUGAAUCUGUGGAUGAAUGAGGAGCGGGGAGGCAGAUUUAGAGAGUGGGAGGACGGUUUAUGAGUUUAUGGCUUUUUAAAGGAGACGGGGGAGGAGGGGGGAGGAGGGGGGAGAGAGGGAGCUACGUUGGGAGGAUGAGGAGGAGCCGGGGGUGAAGAUGGAUGUGGGGUCGUUCCAGGACACGCUGUUUUAAAUGAACGCCACAGUACCAGCCAAUCAGUCUGACUACAGCUCCCAUAAAUCCUGCUGCAGGCGGCCGCCACACACACACACACACGUACGUAUAUAUACGGCUGCUGUCCUGCUUUAUGGCUGCGUACACUUCAUAUCUUUUAUAAAAGACGUUCCUCAGUGAAUUAAAGAUGUAAACACAGUCAGACAGUGAGCGGCCGGGUCUGGUUCUGGUUCUGGUUCUGGUGUAUUUCUUACAAUAUUAACUACAAGUUUAAAAUGAUCACUGAACAUUUUUAUAAUUCAUCCAUUAAAUUGAUUUCUCUGAGAUUCAGCCUGUUUCCACUGUAAACUGGCUGCAGAUAAAUAAUCCAUCAGACUCAGUUCACAUCAGACUCAGCUUUAGCGCGCGUUUUGGCUCCCAAGAGGGCACUUUAGCUCGUGUUGUGGCUCCCAAGAGGGCACUUUAGCUCGUGUUGUGGCUCCCAAGAGGGCACUUUAGCUUGCGCUGUGGCGCCCAAGAGGGCAUUUUAGCACGCGUUGUGGCUCCCAAGAAGGCACUUUAGUUCGCGUUUUGGCUUUCCAAGAGGGCACCUUAGCACAUGUUUUGGCUGCCAAGAGGGCAUUUUAGCUCGCGUUGUGAGUGUUUGGUUAUGUUUUAACCAGCCAAGGGGGCAGUUUAGUGUGUUGUGCCAACCAAGAGGGCACUUUAGCAUGCGUUUUGGCUCCCAAGAGGGCACUUUAGCGUGCGUUUUGGCUCCCAAGAGGGCAUUUUAGCAUGUGUUUUGGCUCCCAAGAGGGCACUUUAGCGUGCGUUUUGGCUCCCAAAAGGGCACUUUAGCAUGCGUUUUGGC
Molecule: long non-coding RNA, 2169 nt
Organism: Sparus aurata (gilthead seabream)
Lineage: Eukaryota; Metazoa; Chordata; Actinopteri; Spariformes; Sparidae
Source: Ensembl